AUUUCAAUCUUCUAAAUGUUUAUUUUGUUUUGAUUUUUUGUGUGUGAUGAACCGAAACCAUUCAUUAUAGAAGGCCUCAAAAUUGACCAGCAAGGUUGCAACCUGUGGGCAAUUUAGACCAAUCGCUCAUUGUAACAUCAUACAGAGCCAUUGGUCUUCACUGCCCACAAGUUGUGAUGUUCUAGUAAGUGUUCAGGCCUUCUAUGAUGAUUGGUCUCAGAUGAACACAAACAAAACCAAUGAAAACUUGUCCAAUGUUUGAUGUCAACAAAAGAUCAACAUUGAAAAAAUGAACUUUGACCCCACCAAGUUCUUUUAUUUUUUUU
This is a non-coding RNA of Biomphalaria pfeifferi, 326 nucleotides long. Lineage: Eukaryota; Metazoa; Mollusca; Gastropoda; Planorbidae. The record is from the annotation of a GenBank genome assembly.